ACCCUUGUUGAGAGAUUUAUCAUGCUCCCAAGAUCAAGACAUUAUUUCAGUAAGAUUCACUCUUCCGAAGUAUUAUUGCAUUAGAGGCAUGGGCUAUGCAAAAAAUAGAAAUAUUUUCGAGGAAAUAAAAAGGAGCAAGUGCUCGACAACCUCGCAGAAAAAAAUUGACAAGUGUCCGGCAGUAGAAUUAGGGGUACCUCAGUAUCCACUUAAAAAAAAGAGAGAGAGAAAAAAUGAUAGCCCAUGGUCCCUCUAAUAAGCAAUAUGCCAGCAAGAGUUGACAAAGUUUUUAAUUUUCAAAGUCUUUGAUCUAAGAGUAUGACAUUCCCCUCCUCGGAUCCCAUUUUGAUCAGGCAAUAAAUGCAAAGUAAGUAUGCUUGAGAAUUUUUGCAAAAUAAAACAACCUCAGUGAGAUAUAUAUAAAAGAUAAUGAGUGAUCUGAGAGAACCUAUGAGGAUAAAAAAGGUAUGCUAACUUUCUUUCAAAAAUAUACAAAAGCUCCAAGUGACAGGAUUGAGAAGAAAGGAUCUUUACUCUUAACCAUAUACAUCCCUGACUAUGGCACAC
This 567-nucleotide long non-coding RNA is filed under the name Sorghum bicolor (sorghum). Its description in RNAcentral is "long non-coding RNA (SBIC_LNC012005)". The record is from RNAcentral. Lineage: Eukaryota; Viridiplantae; Streptophyta; Magnoliopsida; Poales; Poaceae.